AACUCAAAGACAAACUGUCUCUGUGCACUGGAGGAAAUUGUCACUUGGUUUAUAUUUCUUUGUGGGUCUGUGACUGCAGGAUUUUCAGAGGAUUUUGGAGUACAGAGGCACUGACAUCUCUUUAAAAAGGAGUGGGAACGCAGCCCCUAAGUCUCCCAGGACCCUGUCUGAAACCGUGGGAUGGCAGGUGGUGUGAAAGGACCAGGGGGAACACAAACCAGUUCAGUUUGUCCUGCCAAAUGGCCUGGCCCCAAGUCUUGCCUUUCUGCUUGGGUGUGCUUCAGUGAGCAGCUCUCUACAGACACAGACAGGCGAGGAGGAUCAGCUUGGCAGAUGCUGCCUGUGGUUGUACUCACCUUUCCACAGAGGUUGAGAGGCUGCUGCUCUUCAGGACAGAAUCUUCAUCUCUAGCAUUUUAUCAACUUGAGAUGUCCCAGUGACUGUCCCCUCGUGGGCCUCAUAGCCCAGGCAGCAUUCAAAAAUCAGCACAUCCCAGAAGUACUCUUUUGGUAACUGACGAGAGCUGAGGCUACAUGCUGAGGUUUUCCAUUCCUGCCAGAAAAGAGUUUUGGACAAGAAGCAGCUCUGAACUGAACCAAAACUGAAUGCCCAAACUACAAUUCUACAGGAUUUCAGGUACUUUUUACUGACUUGUGCACUGUGCUGCAGAGCAUAAAAUUCACCGUGGUUCACAGAGAGCCCUCCUUCAUGAUGGGGUUUGG
Molecule: long non-coding RNA, 722 nt
Filed under: Calidris pugnax (ruff)
Lineage: Eukaryota; Metazoa; Chordata; Aves; Charadriiformes; Scolopacidae
Description: lncRNA (ENSCPUG00000007706.1)
Source: RNAcentral